AGCCUUAUGGUGUAUUACAUGUCGGAUUGCAAAUCUGAAGAUGCAGGAUAACUCCUUGCUUGGGCUU
RNAcentral lists this transfer RNA (67 nucleotides) under Xenomystax congroides. Its description in RNAcentral is "tRNA-Cys". It matches the Rfam family "tRNA". From Rfam's summary of the family: Transfer RNA (tRNA) molecules are approximately 80 nucleotides in length. Lineage: Eukaryota; Metazoa; Chordata; Actinopteri; Anguilliformes; Congridae. The record is from RNAcentral.